UCUCCGUUGGUGAACCAGCGGAGGGAUCAUUACAGGAUUCGCAAGAACUCCCGUAACCACUGUGAACCUUACCUUCUGUUGCCUCGGCGGGUGCUCCGGCUCGCUCCGGAGCGCUACGCCCGCCGGCGGCACACAACUCUUGUCUCUUGCGUUGGCAUCUCCGAGCAAACAAAAACGAGUCAAAACUUUUAACAACGGAUCUCUUGGUUCUGGCAUCGAUGAAGAACGCAGC
Molecule: unclassified non-coding RNA, 232 nt
Filed under: uncultured fungus
Lineage: Eukaryota; Fungi
Description: sequence contains ITS1, 5.8S rRNA gene
Rfam family: 5.8S ribosomal RNA (bases 184-232)
Source: RNAcentral